GAGAGAAGAACCUGCAGUAGCUGUUUAAGUGUGCGGUGCUGGCAGAGUACCUCCCUGAAGGUGUCCUGGGGAAAGUGUGGUGUCAGCACAGCGGCAGGUCACCGUUCAGGAAGGACCCUUGUACCGCACGGAGGGCUCCCACAUCACUAUCUGGUGCAAUGUGAGUGGCUACCAGGGACCUUCUGAACAGAAUUUCCAGUGGUCCAUUUACCUGCCUUCGUCGCCAGAGCGAGAGGUGCAGAUCGUCAGCACCAUGGACUCUUCCUUC
Long non-coding RNA from Homo sapiens (human), 268 nucleotides. NCBI's taxonomy places the organism in Eukaryota, Metazoa, Chordata, Mammalia, Primates, Hominidae. The record is from Ensembl.